RNAcentral lists this ribosomal RNA (885 nucleotides) under uncultured bacterium. RNAcentral's name for it is "bacterial SSU rRNA". It matches the Rfam family "Bacterial small subunit ribosomal RNA", at positions 58 to 935 of the family's 1533-position model. The record is from RNAcentral.
CAAGUCGAGGGUUCCCCCAAGGGAUAGCGGCAAAAGGGGGAGUAACACGUAAGUAAUUUUCUUUAAAGUCGGGGAUAGCACUGUGAAAACGGUGGUAAUACCCGAUGUUAUGGUUUUCUCGCAUGAGAAGACCAUCAAAGACGGGGACCGAAAGGCCUGUCGCUUUUUGAUGAGCUUGCGCACCAUCAGCUAGUUGGUAGGGUAAUGGCCUACCAAGGCUACGACGGUUAGCUGGUCUGAGAGGACGACCAGCCACAUUGGGACUGAGACACUGCCCAGACUCCUACGGGAGGCUGCAGUCGAGAAUAUUUAGCAAUGGGCGAAAGCCUGACUAUGCGACGCCGCGUGCAGGAUGAAGGUCUUCGGAUUNUAAACUGCUUUUGUUAGGGGGGAAACCUGAAACGUUAAUAGCGUUUCAGCUGACAGUACCUAGCGAAUAAGCCACGGCAAACCCUGUGCCAGCAGCCGCGGUAAUACAGGGGUGGCAAGCGUUACUCGGAAUUAUUGGGUGUAAAGGGCAGGUAGGUGGCCCGGUUAGUGAGAGGUGAAAUCCCACGGUUCAAUCGUGGAACUGCCUUUCAAACUGCCGAGCUUGAGAGAGAUAGAGGAAGAUGGAAUUCUCGGUGUAAGGGUGAAAUCUGUAGAUAUCGGGAAGAACACCAACGGCGAAGGCAAUCUUCUGGGUCUUUUCUGACACUGAACUGCGAAAGCUAGGGGAGCAAACAGAAUUAGAUACUCUGGUAGUCCUAGCCGUAAACGAUGAAUACUAGGUGUCGGCCCCUUCGGGGGUCGGUGCCGAAGCUAACGCAUUAAGUAUUCCACCUGGGGACUACGGUCGCAAGGCUAGAACUCAAAGGAAUUGACGGGGGCUCACACAAGCGGUGG